AGCAGCCGCGGUAAUUCCAGCUCCAAUAGCGUAUAUUAAAGUUGUUGCAGUUAAAAAGCUCGUAGUUGAAUUUCGGGGUCAAUAAGUUGGUCAUGCCAAUGGUAUGCACUGGCUUUAUUGAUUCCUACCUCUUGACGAACUGUGAUGCCAUUAAUUUGGUGUUGCAAGGAAUCAGGACUAUUACCUUGAAAAAAUUAGAGUGUUUAAAGCAAGCUUACGCUUGAAUACAUUAGCAUGGAAUAAUGAAAUAGGACGUUUGAUCCUAUUUUGUUGGUUUCUAGGAUCGACGUAAUGAUUAAUAGGGAUAGUUGGGGGCAUUAGUAUUCAAUUGUCAGAGGUGAAAUUCUUGGAUUUAUUGAAGACUAACUACUGCGAAAGCAUUUGCCAAGGAUGUUUUCAUUAAUCAAGAACGAAAGUUAGGGGAUCGAAGACGAUCAGAUACCGUCGUAGUCUUAACCAUAAACUAUGCCGACUAGGGAUCGGAUGAUGUUAAUUUUUAAUGACUCUACG
Molecule: ribosomal RNA, 510 nt
Filed under: uncultured Glomus
Lineage: Eukaryota; Fungi; Glomeromycota; Glomeromycetes; Glomerales; Glomeraceae
Description: SSU rRNA
Rfam family: Eukaryotic small subunit ribosomal RNA
Source: RNAcentral